GACGAAGGGGGCUAGCGUUGUUCGGAAUUACUGGGCGUAAAGCGAGUGUAGGUGGUUGUCCAAGUUGGAUGUGAAAGCCUUGAGCUCAACUCAAGAAAUGCAUUCAGGACUGGGCGGCUAGAGGACCGGAGAGGAUAGUGGAAUUCCCAGUGUAGUGGUGAAAUGCGUAGAUAUCCGGAGGAACACCAGUGGCGAAGGCGACUUUCUGGCCUGUUCUUGACGCUGAGGCGCGAAAGCGUGGGGAGCAAACAGG
Molecule: ribosomal RNA, 253 nt
Filed under: uncultured bacterium
Lineage: Bacteria
Description: partial 16S ribosomal RNA
Rfam family: Bacterial small subunit ribosomal RNA
Source: RNAcentral